GUGAGGAAUAUUGGACAAUGGGCGCAAGCCUGAUCCAGCCAUGCCGCGUGCAGGAAGACGCAUCUAUGGUGUGUAAACUGCUUUUGUACGGGAAGAAACACUCCCUCGUGAGGGAGCUUGACGGUACCGUAAGAAUAAGGAUCGGCUAACUCCGUGCCAGCAGCCGCGGUAAUACGGAGGAUCCAAGCGUUAUCAGGAAUCAUUGGGUUUAAAGGGUCCGUAGGCGGUUUAAUAAGUCAGUGGUGAAAGCCCAUCGCUCAACGAUGGAACGGCCAUUGAUACUGUUAGACUUGAAUUACAAGGAAGUAACUAGAAUAUGUAGUGUAGCGGUGAAAUGCUUAGAUAUUACAUGGAAUACCAAUUGCGAAGGCAGGUUACUACUUGUGGAUUGACGCUGAUGGACGAAAGCGUGGGGAGCGAACAGGAUUAGAUACCCUGGUAGUCC
RNAcentral lists this ribosomal RNA (445 nucleotides) under uncultured bacterium. RNAcentral describes it as "partial 16S ribosomal RNA". It matches the Rfam family "Bacterial small subunit ribosomal RNA", at positions 354 to 796 of the family's 1533-position model. The record is from RNAcentral.